CAGAACGGGUUGAGAUUAAAGUUUCACACGUCUGCCAAGGACAGAUUCUGCUGGCUGCCCCAGGAACUCACACAGCCUUGCCUAAGUAGAGUGAACACAGAGCUAGCCCUCACAAGAUGCAGGAAGCAAGAGAGUGACAUGCAGGGGCCGGAGGAGCCCUGCCAUCACCUGCCCUGGGACUGCCAGCCAGCCCGCACCCAAGGAGCCAGGCGGUGCUGAGGUGAGAGACACAGGGAAAAGCAACUGCGUGGUGGCACUUUCAGCUCCCAAACCUGGUGCUGCAUGUCCCAGAACCACCUGGGAGCUUUUUAAAAGCCGAUCUGCUGUGCCCUGGCCCAGAUCCACCAAGUGCAUCAGAAUCUCAGAGCUCGUUUCUCCCCACGGGAAGGGAACUGGACUCAUCAAGUUACACCAGCUGACUGUCCGUGUCACUAAGCCUUUUCUGUGGUUUCCAGGAUGAGCCCAAGUCUGUGCUCACAUGUGAGUGGACAGCCCGAAGCCAGAAUCUCCCCUGAGGAAGUGACGUGAGUUUGACUUCUCCUCUGUUGUGAGUUAGGAGAUGAAAGGCAAGUGCAAAAAAUUAUUCAAUUCAAGACAUGCCAGCUGCCUCUCUAUCUUGGAGAGGGGGGCAAAGGUGAGCAAGCCACGUGCUUAAUCUCGGGAGCUGAGCAUGUACGCGGCUGAGCAGGAAGAGGAUGCUGGUGGAAGCAGCAGUUCCUGGGUGGAAGCCAUCUUUGUUGGGACUGUGCUCUGGGAGGAGUACGCUCAAUCAGAACCUGAAAAGUAAGGUUCCUUAGACUGUGCCUGCAGGCCCUGCUCCCAACCAUAUUCCAGAUAUUACCGAGACGUAGUGCUGACGUGGCUUAGUGCCUGCGGAGCAGGAAAGAUCCUAAGCAUAACGGACCCCAAAGAGCCAUCUUCCAGAAGUCACCAUCAGCACCACAGUUUGGAAAGGACACCCGUCCCAGGGAGUCAGGAUGGCGGAGCAGUCUAAGGAACCCGGUCCCUUCUGGGAAGGAAGGGACUCCUGCAGUCAGUUCCUGGCACCUGUAUGUAACAGAGCUUUGCCUCAGAGCUCACCGGAACAAGCAACCCCACAUGUUUUGUGGGACUCAUCGCGACUACUGCUUUCCAACAAGGACUCUGUGACGCAGCAACCGAACCCACAUCUGAAAGGAAUAAAGCUCGAGCUUUCUA
Molecule: non-coding RNA, 1197 nt
Organism: Equus caballus (horse)
Lineage: Eukaryota; Metazoa; Chordata; Mammalia; Perissodactyla; Equidae
Source: RefSeq, a predicted model, not a curated record